RNAcentral lists this ribosomal RNA (373 nucleotides) under uncultured Peniculida. RNAcentral's name for it is "partial small subunit ribosomal RNA". It matches the Rfam family "Eukaryotic small subunit ribosomal RNA", at positions 30 to 432 of the family's 1831-position model. Lineage: Eukaryota; Ciliophora; Oligohymenophorea; Peniculida. The record is from RNAcentral.
GCUUGUCUCAAAGAUUAAGCCAUGCAUGUCUAAGUAUAAGUAGUAUACAGCGAAACUGCGAAUGGCUCAUUAAAACAGUUAUAGUUUAUUCGAUAGUAAAAUUACAUGGAUAACCGUGGUAAAUCUAUGGCUAAUACAUGCGCAAAGGCCCGACCCUGAAGGGCUGUAUUUAUUAGAUCUAACCAUCAUUUGGUGAAUCAUAGUAACUGAUCGGACCGUGCGUUAGCGCGGUAAAUCGUUCAAGUUUCUGCCCUAUCAGUUGUGGAUGGUAGGGUAUUGGCCUACCAUGACUUUAACGGGUAACGGAGAAUUAGGGUUCGAUUCCGGAGAGGGAGCCUGAGAAAUGGCUACCACAUCCAAGGAAGGCAGCAGG